This 710-nucleotide ribosomal RNA is filed under the name uncultured bacterium. RNAcentral describes it as "bacterial SSU rRNA". It matches the Rfam family "Bacterial small subunit ribosomal RNA", at positions 105 to 801 of the family's 1533-position model. The record is from RNAcentral.
GGUGAGUAACACGUGGGUAACCUGCCUGUAAGACCGGGAUAACUCGCGGAAACGCGAGCUAAUACCGGAUAGGUCCCGUGGCCGCAUGGCGACGGGAGGAAAGAUGGCGCGAGCUAUCGCUUACAGAUGGGCCCGCGGCGCAUUAGCUAGUUGGUGGGGUAACGGCCCACCAAGGCGACGAUGCGUAGCCGACCUGAGAGGGUGAUCGGCCACAUUGGGACUGAGACACGGCCCAAAUUCCUACGGGAGGCAGCAGUAGGGAAUCUUCCGCAAUGGGCGAAAGCCUGACGGAGCAACGCCGCGUGAGCGAAGAAGGCCUUCGGGUCGUAAAGCUCUGUUGUCAGGGAAGAACAAGUACCGGAGUAACUGCCGGUACCUUGACGGUACCUGACCAGAAAGCCCCGGCUAACUACGUGCCANCAGCCGCGGUAAUACGUAGGGGGCGAGCGUUGUCCGGAAUCAUUGGGCGUAGAGCGCGCGCAGGCGGUCCCUUAANUCUGAUGUGAAAUCUUGCGGCUCAACCGCAAGAGGUCAUUGGAAACUGGGGGACUUGAGUGCAGGAGAGGGAAGCGGAAUUCCAUGUGUAGCGGUGAAAUGCGUANAGAUAUGGAGGAACACCAGUGGCGAANGCGGCUUCCUGGCCUGUAACUGACGCUCANGCGCGAAAGCGUGGGGAGCAAACAGGAUUAGAUACCCUGGUAGUCCACGCC